RNAcentral lists this ribosomal RNA (380 nucleotides) under uncultured eukaryote. Its description in RNAcentral is "partial 18S ribosomal RNA". It matches the Rfam family "Eukaryotic small subunit ribosomal RNA", at positions 592 to 976 of the family's 1831-position model. The record is from RNAcentral.
CAAUAGCGUAUAUUAAAGUUGUUGCAGUUAGAACGCUCGUAGUCGGAUUUCGGGGCGGGCCGACCGGUCUGCCGAUGGGUAUGCACUGGUCGGCGCGUCCUUCCUUCCGGAGACCGUCCCUACUCUUAACUGAGCGGGGGCGGGAGACGGGACGUUUACUUUGAAAAAAUCAGAGUGUUUCAAGCAGGCAGCUCGCUCUUGCAUGGAUUAGCAUGGGAUAAUGAAAUAGGACUUUGGUGCUAUUUUGUUGGUUUCGAACACCGAAGUAAUGAUGAGAAGGGACAGUCAGGGGCACUCGUAUUCCGCCGAGAGAGGUGAAAUUCUCAGACCAGCGGAAGACGAACCACUGCGAAAGCAUUUGCCAGGGAUGUUUUCACUGA